This 468-nucleotide ribosomal RNA is filed under the name uncultured bacterium. RNAcentral describes it as "partial 16S ribosomal RNA". It matches the Rfam family "Bacterial small subunit ribosomal RNA", at positions 28 to 507 of the family's 1533-position model. The record is from RNAcentral.
GACGAACGCUGGCGGCGUGCUUAACACAUGCAAGUCGAACGGAAAGGCCCUGCUUUUGUGGGGUGCUCGAGUGGCGAACGGGUGAGUAACACGUGAGUAACCUGCCCUUGACUUUGUGAUAACUUCAGGAAACUGGGGCUAAUACCGGAUAGGAGCUCCUGCUGCAUGGUGGGCGUUGGAAAGUUUCGGCGGUUGGGGAUGGACUCGCGGCUUAUCAGCUUGUUGGUUGGGUAGUUGCUUACCAAGGGUUCGACGGAUAGCCGGCCUGAGAGGGUGACCGGCGUCAAUGGGCCUGAGGGACGGCGCAGACUGCUACGGGAGGCAGUGGGGGGGAGUAUGGCACAGUGGGCGGAAGCCUGAUGCAGAAACGCUGCGUGCGGGAAGACGGCCUUCGGGUUGUAAACCGCUGUCGCCUGUGACGAAGCGUGAGUGACGGUAAUGGGUAAAGAAGCACCGGCUAACUACGUG